RNAcentral lists this ribosomal RNA (440 nucleotides) under uncultured bacterium. RNAcentral describes it as "partial 16S ribosomal RNA". It matches the Rfam family "Bacterial small subunit ribosomal RNA", at positions 338 to 795 of the family's 1533-position model. The record is from RNAcentral.
CCUACGGGAGGCAGCAGUGGGGAAUAUUGCACAAUGGGGGAAACCCUGAUGCAGCGACGCCGCGUGAGUGAAGAAGUAUUUCGGUAUGUAAAGCUCUAUCAGCAGGGAAGAAAAUGACGGUACCUGAAUAAGAAGCCCCGGCUAACUACGUGCCAGCAGCCGCGGUAAUACGUAGGGGGCAAGCGUUAUCCGGAUUUACUGGGUGUAAAGGGAGCGUAGACGGCAGCACAAGUCUGGAGUGAAAUGCCGGGGCUUAACCCCGGAACUGCUUUGGAAACUGUGCAGCUAGAGUGCAGGAGAGGUAAGUGGAAUUCGUGGUGUAGCGGUGAAAUGCGUAGAUAUGAGGAGGAACACCAGUGGCGAAGGCGGCUUACUGGACUGUAACUGACGUUGAGGCUCGAAAGCGUGGGGAGCAAACAGGAUUAGAUACCCUUGUAGUC